GCCCCAGUGGCCUAAUGGAUAAGGACACUGGCCUCCUAAGCCAGGGAUUGUGGGUUCAAGUCCCAUCUGGGGGU
This 74-nucleotide transfer RNA is filed under the name Perca fluviatilis (European perch). It matches the Rfam family "tRNA". Rfam says of the family: Transfer RNA (tRNA) molecules are approximately 80 nucleotides in length. Their secondary structure includes four short double-helical elements and three loops (D, anti-codon, and T loops). The record is from Rfam by way of RNAcentral. Lineage: Eukaryota; Metazoa; Chordata; Actinopteri; Perciformes; Percidae.